This 1147-nucleotide long non-coding RNA is filed under the name Brassica napus (rape). Its description in RNAcentral is "long non-coding RNA (BNAP_LNC018714)". Lineage: Eukaryota; Viridiplantae; Streptophyta; Magnoliopsida; Brassicales; Brassicaceae. The record is from RNAcentral.
UCUGUCUUUUUUUUUUCCAUAUGAAGAAUUUCAUUGAUAACAUAGAAAGAUACAUGAUGAAACACUAAAUCCAGCAGAACACAUACGGAUCUCCGGAAACGAAAUCACAACAGUGGGAAACUUAAGCUCAAAAGGAUAGGACACGAGCAGCUAAACAAUCAAAUAAACCAUAACUACACCUUGCUAAGAGAAUCCAAGAAACAAGCUAACAAGAGAUAAUAGAACAAGAAUUUAAUUGACUAAGACUAGCCGGUCUUCUUGCUACGAACAGAGAGCAAGAGAGCACGCACCACAGAGGACUUCAAGAAGAAUAGCAGCACCCUCAUCUGAACUACUCGUUCACGAUGACUACACACAAACCACUUUGCGAAACCAAAAUAACACCCAAAGAGAAGCAACACCCGAUACAAAUUAAACCCCCUACUCAACAUACCCUUCAUCUGGACACUUCAAAGCCUUAACCUCUUUAGCUUCAACACACAGAAGCCACAGAGGAUAAACAAAUACCAAAGUGCGACCAGGAAAAUAACCUUAUUCAAGGGACAGAGAAGGACCCUUACCAACAGGGAGAUGGAGAGGUGUCCUAAAACCAGCUUCUCCUCGACCACAAUACCAACCAACUGCUCAUCCCACGUCACGCCGCUGCUUCACCGUAGCUGAAUCAAAGAUCAACUAAGAAAAACUCUACACUCCAAGCACAAUUAAUCGGAUUCAAACGCAGGCAAGAUGAUCAAAACAGAAACUGACGAAGAGGGACAUAGGGCUAAAACCCAGCAGAAUCCACCAUGAUAAAUCAACAACGAACUCCAACCCGCCGGUUCAGAACCACCAGAAUAACGAUUCACGAACUCUUCGACCCGGAACCUCUCCUUUGUUCAGAUCCGAAGCUACCCAGAAAACUGACCACACAAACUACAAUAGAAGAAGAAAACAUUCGGACUGGACCGACGGUGACGCUAACGGAGCCGUCACGCGCCGGCCAGAGGAGGAGCAAAGCCGGCGGCUGUAAGUUCAGGCAGAUGUGGUCGAGAAAAUAUUAGGUUUUUUUGGAUUGCUUUUAUAUCCGUCUAUCUUUCUCCAUCUUUCUCUAUUUAUGAUUUUUUUUCUAAAAAUCCCCGAUGGAGUAGCUCUUAGGCUUCUAUAAAAC